GGAAUAAUGAGCCAGAGUUUGUGAAGGUGCUUUGAAGUAGCUGGAUGAAAGGGACUGUGUAAAUCAUAACAGUAGUAGCCCUGCCAGACUGCUCUCACCACACUUGUCUCUUACACUCCAAUACAGGGGCACCGCCACCCAUUCCCAUGCACCCCCACCACUGCUCAGCAAUUUUGCAUGUUGCUUCCAAAGGGGUUGCUCACCCCUGUAUCCAAACAUCACCACCACAGAUAUUCAGUGUCCUGCCCCACACUGCCAGCACUCCCCACCGAGCACACAGCUGGAAGGAAACUUCAAGAUAAUUUGGUCCAACAUCCCAUUUUUUGAAGGUCAGGAAACUAACAUCCAGAAAGGUUAAAUGAGUUUGCCUGGAAUUUCUUUUAAGGAGAUGCAUUUCCUAAGGGUCAUCAUAUUUCUAAAUCAGUAAGAGUGCUAAGUAAUAUGUUUUGUUAAAUCUGCAUGUUUUUAAAGAAACGAAUACAAGAGAAUAAUAACGUUUCCUUUUGGAAGGGAAGAUCUGCCUGCAUGGCCAGUAACCCAGAGCCCAAGCCAGAUAAAAAUAAUGAUUAACGAACGGAUAAACAGGCUCAUAUGCUUCAUACGUGAUAAAUUAAGGGUCUCAUACUGGCCAGAGAAUCAUGUUAUCUAAGUAAUUUUGAGAAGACAGCCCAUGACCUUAAUAAUUUGCCACUUGUUAUGGCAAAGUUAUUUUGAAAGUUUUCUAGGUAACUGAAGGUCCAGUGUAUGUGCCAGGCAUUUAGUAUAAUCUUAUCUUUCCCCAAAUGUGGACAAAAGUGGUUUUUUUCAGUCACAUAUACCACCGCAUUGAGAACUGGACAUUUGAUAAUCAUCAGCGAUUUUCCCUCCAGGGCCUCCUCAGAUGGCUUUUCUUGAUUACAAACUAUUUUGGAAACUCCAAAUUCUUUCCACUGAUUUAGCAACGAAUCCUCAACUUAUUUUUAAACUGCUGUAAUUGAGCAGCUCUGGGGGUUAACUUGUGGAGUCUGGUCACUUUUAGAUCAAAUUAUCAACCAAACACUCUGCUCUUACCAUCUUGGGACCAUCUUCUAUUUCUUUUGCUGAGAAUAGGUUAACCAAGGGACCUUGAAAUCAUUCAAAGCCACAAUACAAAAACAUCACUUUGGCUUCUCCCAAGUUUAUCCUACUCUUCAUCUGGUGCAAGGAAACGAACAGAAAAACCGGACCCUGUUAAUUAUUCCCAAGAUGACAUCAAUGUGCUCUUCCAUGGCCUUCUACAGCUUGGAGCUGAGCUCAAGGAGCAAGGAGUUAUAGCAGAAAGCACACUGGCCACCUGUUUAAGCGACUGGACCCUUUGAACACCUCUUUAGCUGAGCUUCUAGGUCAGCCAGCAGGAGAGAAGGAAAGAGGGCUUUGAGAGGAGAGAGGAGCAGCUCGACAAGAGGAGUGAAGGCCCCUAUCAGCUGGCUGCUGAGCUCCAGUGUCAACUGGUUGCAGGGAUGACCUACAGGGAGGGAUUUAAUGAGGAGCUGAAGUUGCUGGAGCAAAGUUGGAAGAUGCUGCACCCUUUAAGGCAAGUGGGCUUCCAGUGACAAAGGUGAUGGAUGAUGUCAUGACAGAGCCAAAAAAUUGAUGAAGUGGAAAUGCAGCAAAGCCAACUGCAUGAACAAAGAUGCUGUCAUUCAAAAACUACAGGAAAAGGCACUGUUACAAGCAUCUAUGACAGGUACUACUAUUAGCCUCAUUCAGAAGAUGAUAAAACUGAGGUGUGAAGAGAAUGCAUUAACUUGUACCAGGUUAGAUAAAAGUGCAAAUUCACAAAGGAACCAGUGAAAAAGGAAAACAGAAGGAAAACUCCUGAUGUGUAGGUUGAAGAGAACAUUCUGUCUUCAGAAAUCAGAGCAAGAAAAAUGGAAGGUAAAACAUGUUCCAGGGCACCAGUCAGAGCCCCACAAGGCUGUCUGCCCUGGGAAAUGGCGCAAGAUUAGAAGGAGGCACUGGGGGUGUUAUCGCAAGCAGCAGCUUGCCCCUUAGUAACCCCUGUCCUCCACAGGCCAGGCUGCAAUAUUUCACAUAAACGCUGGUACUGUACUCUGAACAUCAGGGACCUCUACACCCCUCACAAACAGCAAAUGCAGUUAAGACGCCAGAAAAAAAAAAUGGUAUCAAAUUGUUUAAAAACUCUACAAUAAAUGGUCCAAUAUUCUUUCUCUAUGAUUUUGUAAUGUUAAAAAAAUCCACUGAAAGUCAGAAAUCAAAUGACAGAAAGAGAGAAAGAGAAAGAGAGAGAGAGAGAAAUAAAACAAUAGCCAGUCUUAAUGUCUCUUAUGGUACCACUUUUAAAGAUUUCUUUCAGUGAGAAAACAAUCCAUGCUUUUUCAACUGAUGAUCUGCAAUUUGAAUAUGAGAUAUGGUGAUUUUAUACAGCACAACUCUUAUUACUACUAAUUGAUCUUUGAACAUGAAUUGAUUAAAUAUAGCUGCUAUGAUAUUUGUAGAAUACCUUUUCUAUUACAUUAAUCUCCAUCCCAUUCUUUUCUAUGAGAUAAGUAAAAGUUCCUUUUGAGUGAGAGAUUGGAAAACCAGCAUUCCUUCUGCUAAAUAAAGCAGACCCUCAAGAAUGCUAUCUUUUAGAAAUGGGUGAAAGGAGCCAUCCUUAAAACCCACUUCACUUGUUUAAGUCCAACUAGUUUUCAAUAGCAAAGACCCAAAGGGAAAGCUAGAGUGUUUAUGGUCUUAGGUCUUAUCCAGAUCAGAUUCCCAUAGAAAAGAAUCACAAAUAUCCAAGCAUUCGAAAUCUGCUGGGGAAACCUAACUGCUUUAAGAAAAAAAAAAAUUCUCUCCCCGAUCCUGAUUGAAAAUGAUUUCUAAACCAUACUUUGUUGAACCAACUGAAAUUUUUUUCAAGUAAGAUGCCCAUGUUAGCAGAUUUCCUUCUGAAACACUGCUUGGUAGAUUUAAUAUAUUAAGAGGUUUAUAUAUAAUUCACUCUCACCUUAGUAUGAAUUGGUUUACUCACCCUCCCUCCUUACAAAAAGCUUGGAUUUAUGGACUGAAGGUGUGCAUGAAGAAAAGGAAUAAAAAGAGGAUAGG
RNAcentral lists this long non-coding RNA (3072 nucleotides) under Homo sapiens (human). RNAcentral describes it as "HSALNT0350808". The record is from RNAcentral. Lineage: Eukaryota; Metazoa; Chordata; Mammalia; Primates; Hominidae.